GCCUGGGUGGCUCAGUGGUUGAGCAUCUGCCUUUGACUCAGGGUGUGAUCUUGGGGUCCUGGGUGGGAUCGAGUCCCGCAUCAGGCU
Molecule: transfer RNA, 87 nt
Filed under: Canis lupus familiaris (dog)
Lineage: Eukaryota; Metazoa; Chordata; Mammalia; Carnivora; Canidae
Also listed under: 1 other name
Rfam family: tRNA
About the family: Transfer RNA (tRNA) molecules are approximately 80 nucleotides in length. Their secondary structure includes four short double-helical elements and three loops (D, anti-codon, and T loops).
Source: Rfam by way of RNAcentral